GUCAGAUAGGAGUCCAUCAAGCUGAUUCAAACUUUCACUAUAGUGAGAGAUGUUCAGGGAUAGUUAUCUGGAGACAUCAGACCAUCCUCUCCUUCUAGCUAGUCUGGAUCUUUAUCUUAGGAUUACCCUGAUCUAUCCUUACUAAGGAUGCUAGGAUUUAAUUCUUAGAUCUUUAGUGACCCUAACAAUCUACUUUUUGAUAGAUAUAGAUUGCAUACAUUUUAGAUGUAUAGAUGUUUA
This 240-nucleotide long non-coding RNA is filed under the name Elaeis guineensis (African oil palm). Its description in RNAcentral is "long non-coding RNA (EGUI_LNC061522)". The record is from RNAcentral. Lineage: Eukaryota; Viridiplantae; Streptophyta; Magnoliopsida; Arecales; Arecaceae.